UACGGAGGGGGCUAGCGUUGUUCGGAAUUACUGGGCGUAAAGCGCGCGUAGGCGGACCUGCAAGUCGGGGGGUGAAAGCCCGAGGCUCAACCUCGGAACUGCCUUCGAUACUGCGGGUCUCGAGUCCGGGAGAGGUGAGUGGAAUUCCUAGUGUAGAGGUGAAAUGCGCAGAUAUCAGGAAGAACACCCGUGGCGAAGGCGGCUCUCUGGGACGGUACUGACGCUGAGACGCGAAAGCGUGGGGAGCGAACAGG
This 254-nucleotide ribosomal RNA is filed under the name uncultured bacterium. RNAcentral's name for it is "partial 16S ribosomal RNA". It matches the Rfam family "Bacterial small subunit ribosomal RNA", at positions 524 to 776 of the family's 1533-position model. The record is from RNAcentral.